This 79-nucleotide microRNA precursor is filed under the name Danio rerio (zebrafish). RNAcentral's name for it is "microRNA dre-mir-148 precursor". Its record names the gene dre-mir-148. It matches the Rfam family "mir-148/mir-152 microRNA precursor family". From Rfam's summary of the family: The hairpin precursors (represented here) are predicted based on base pairing and cross-species conservation -- their extents are not known. Lineage: Eukaryota; Metazoa; Chordata; Actinopteri; Cypriniformes; Danionidae. The record is from miRBase by way of RNAcentral.
CUUUCCAAGUAAAGUUCUGUGAUACACUCCGACUCUGAAUGUUUGCAGUCAGUGCAUUACAGAACUUUGUUUUGGGAGU